This 253-nucleotide ribosomal RNA is filed under the name uncultured bacterium. RNAcentral's name for it is "partial 16S ribosomal RNA". It matches the Rfam family "Bacterial small subunit ribosomal RNA", at positions 524 to 776 of the family's 1533-position model. The record is from RNAcentral.
UACGUAGGGGGCAAGCGUUGUCCGGAUUUAUUGGGCGUAAAGAGCGUGUAGGCGGCCAGACAGGUCCGUUGUGAAAACUCGAGGCUCAACCUCGAGACGCCGAUGGAAACCGUUUGGCUAGAGUCCGGAAGAGGAGAGUGGAAUUCCUGGUGUAGCGGUGAAAUGCGCAGAUAUCAGGAAGAACACCCGUGGCGAAGGCGGCUCUCUAGUACGGUACUGACGCUGAGACGCGAAAGCGUGGGGAGCGAACAGG